CAUGUCUACAUCUGUGCUUUUCUCAGCUAAAACUCGAACACACCUUCCAUCCACUUCUUCCUGAGUUUCUCUCCCUAAGCCCCAAGUUCCAGCAAGCUAUUCCUUUCUCCUUUAAUGUUGUCUAGCCUAGUCUACAAGAAAUUUUUUCUUUUGUAAAAAGAUUUUACAUAUUUAUCUAUUUUCAAUUAUGUGUAUAUUUGUGAUUGUCUUUGCAGAUGCGUGUUACUACAGUUGUAUGUAGUGGUCAGGCAAAAAGAAAAUCAGAACUUCCAAAGCUGGAGUGUCAGGUGGUUGUGAACUACUCAACCUGGUUCCUGGGAACCAAACUCAGGUCCUCCGCCAAAGGAGCACAUGCACUUAGCCACUGAGUCAUCUCUGAAGUCCCAGAAACCUCUGAAUGCCCAGGUGACAAGACCAAGGCUGAGAGACUAGGAAAGGGCUAAGAAUCUGAGUCACUGGCUGAGCAAACUACAGGUCAAUGGUGGACCUUCUCAAAAGCAAUACAUAAAUGAUCGAGGAACAAAAGCAUCACAUCAUCAACUUUUGCCCUCCACAACUGCCUACAGAGGUGAGCAUAACUGCGCGCGCGCGUGCAUACACACACACACACACACACACACACACACACACACACACAUACACACACACACAGCAAAAA
Molecule: long non-coding RNA, 658 nt
Filed under: Mus musculus (house mouse)
Lineage: Eukaryota; Metazoa; Chordata; Mammalia; Rodentia; Muridae
Description: predicted gene 12295
Source: RNAcentral